Molecule: ribosomal RNA, 269 nt
Filed under: uncultured prokaryote
Description: partial 16S ribosomal RNA
Rfam family: Bacterial small subunit ribosomal RNA
Source: RNAcentral
UACGUAGGGGGCAAACGUUAUCCGGAUUUACUGGGCGUAAAGAGCGCGUAGGCGGUCUGGCAAGUCGGAUGUAAAAUCUCCCGGCUCAACUGGGAGGGAUCAUUCGAUACUUCCAGACUAGAGGUCAGCAGAGGUAAGUGGAAUUCCCGGUGUAGUGGUGAUAUGCGUAGAUAUCGGGAGGAACACCAGUGGCGAAGGCGGCUUACUGGGCUGCACCUGACGCUGAGGCGCGAAAGCGUGGGGAGCGAACAGGAUUAGAUACCCCGGUA